CCGUUCUCCAGCGAGGUCGUUUGUUUCAGAGCUAGUGGCUUGCGGGAGCCACUGGGGAGCAAGAUCAUUUAACAGCAAAAAUAUUCUUUCUCAGCAAAUUGCUUGGAGCCAGGGGGAUGAAGCUUCCAGGACAACUCAAAUCCUGCAUUCACCCACAGAAUAAACCUAAUUCUUGGAUUCCAUUUGGAUCCCCCAGCGCAUGCAAUCAAGGUUCAGCUGACUGCCAGACACUGGAAGCUUGGCAAAUCUUUGUGGUUUGACUUACAGGUUUUGGAAAAAACAAAAGAGAUUGUCUCAAUAUUUGCUCCUCCUCUCCCACCGCUUCCAGAUUCAAUCCUUCCUCCCUAUUCCAGCCACAUGUUUACUUGUGUGGAUUUAUGUGGACCCACUGCGUGACCCUGGAAAUGGUAGUAUCAGACCCACUGUUGGAGGGUUUGGUUAAUCACCUGAUAUUUCUCCAAAGGCACUUGGCAUAAAACAAAGCACAUCAAAUGCACAAAUCUCAUCAUAUAUAA
Long non-coding RNA from Zalophus californianus (California sea lion), 515 nucleotides. RefSeq lists it as uncharacterized. The record is from RefSeq and is a predicted model, not a curated record. Lineage: Eukaryota; Metazoa; Chordata; Mammalia; Carnivora; Otariidae. The transcript has 3 exons.